ACUUAACCUUUAUAUUGAUGAUUUCGAAAUAUGUAAUGCCAUUGGGACAUCACGACGAAAACAUAAAAUCUGUGCCAUCUAUUGGACUUUAGGUAAUCUGUCCCCCGGUUGUCAAUCUUCACUGUCAUCGAUACAGUUGGCUCUUCUAGUCAGAAGUAAUGAUUUGAAGGUGUAUGGCUAUGAAGCAGUACUCGAGCCUCUCAUUUGUGAUUUAAUUUCCUUGGAACAGCAUGGUGUGUUUUUGCCAAAGUUAGGGAAAUCUGUUAAGGGAACCGUACAGUGUGUUAUAGCCGACAAUCUUGGAGCCCACAGCAUCGCUGGAUUUCUUGAAAGUUUUUCAGGUGGUCAUGUAUGCCGAUUUUGUACAGCUUCCAAAUCAGAAAUUCAAACUAAGCAAGUAGACAGUGGAGCUUUUACAUCAAGAACAGAAUCCCUUCACGCAGACCAUCUCAAAACCAUAGAGGAACAAUCUCUGAAAAAUUUCUGUGGUGUCAAGAGGAGAUGUGUCCUUUCUGAGAAACUCAGUCAUUUCAAAGUUACUGCCGGUUUCCCUCCAGAUCUGGUCCAUGAUUUAUUUGAAGGGAUUGUUCCUGCAGAGAUAGCUUUAUGUCUGUCCAUCUUCACAUCUAAGAAAUACUUUACACUUGCAUAUUUCAACGAGUCUAUACUACAUUUCCCCUUUAAGUGGAUUGACAAAGUUAAUUGUCCCCAUCCAGUGCCAUUGACCUUUGCAUCUCGAAAGGCAAUAGGUGGCAAUUCCCACGAGAACUGGUGUUUGUUAAGGUUUUUCCCCUUCCUUGUUGGCCAGAAGGUGCCUGUUGAAGAACCUGCAUGGAAAAUACUGACUGAUCUAAAGGAUAUUGUGGACCUUGUUGUCUCACCUGUUCAUACAGAGGAAUCGAUUGCAUAUUUGAAUUUCAAGAUCUCAGAGCACAGAGUACGACUUCAAGAGGUUUUCCCAGACUACAACCUGCUGCCUAAGCAUCAUUAUUUGGAACACUAUCCUCAACUUAUUCGUAAAUUUGGAUCAUUAGUCUGUCUUUGGACAUUGAGAUUUGAAGCAAAGCACAGUUUUUUUAAGAGAGUUGUUCGAUAUACAAGAUCUUUCAAGAAUGUGUUGUUGUCUUUGGCAGAGCGACACCAAUUUCACAUGGCACAGCAGGUAUUAAUGUACUCUCAAAAACGUCUUCUGGAAGUGUCAAAUGUUUCAACUCUUUCUGUUGAUGUGUUGAAAGAGGAGAUCGCACAAGCUAUACGGCUGAAACACCCGACCGUGGACAAUGUGUGUCUGGCAAAGAAUGUCACUUACGAUGGAUUCAACUACAGAACUGGAAUGAUCCUUGCACAUGGAUCUUUGGCAGAGAUCCCUGAAUUCACAGAAAUCAUCCACAUGUUGGUUCUGAAGGACAAUCUUUUUUUCAUUGUUCGGAAGCUGAGUGCGUGGCACUUGGAACACUUCAGGGCCUUUAAACUUGAAGUGAGCUCCACCAAAGACGUAAUACUUGUGGCGCCAGAUGAACUGACUGAUCCAUAUCCGCUGGUGGAUUACACUGUGGGAGGAGUGCGUUUGAUUACCCUGAAGAGAUAUAUUCAAGUUUAAGACAUCCAGGACGUUUUUGACGCCAGCCUGCACUUCAUCGGUGGCCUGGGCAUCACCAUCUACAUUCACCUUCCUUCAACACAUCCAGGUGGUAUUGAAGCAGCUUUCUGGACCCUCACGCCGAGACGCAACUUGAUCGGUCAAUAUGGCAAAUCC
Long non-coding RNA from Gadus macrocephalus (Pacific cod), 1756 nucleotides. RefSeq lists it as uncharacterized. Lineage: Eukaryota; Metazoa; Chordata; Actinopteri; Gadiformes; Gadidae. The record is from RefSeq and is a predicted model, not a curated record. The transcript is spliced from 3 exons.